RNAcentral lists this ribosomal RNA (452 nucleotides) under Mycoplasma mycoides subsp. mycoides. RNAcentral describes it as "bacterial LSU rRNA". It matches the Rfam family "Bacterial large subunit ribosomal RNA", at positions 1438 to 1893 of the family's 2925-position model. The record is from RNAcentral. RNAcentral also lists the same sequence under 1 other name. Lineage: Bacteria; Bacillati; Mycoplasmatota; Mollicutes; Mycoplasmatales; Mycoplasmataceae.
CCUGUACCAGUUAAUUAGUGAUGGAGUGACGAAGAAGGAUAGUAUAUCCCGGGUGCUGGAUGUCCCGGGCUAAGCACAAAGAUGGCAAUGUUGGCAAAUCCGCAUUGUAUUAACAUUGAAGUGUGAAAAUAGGGGAGUGAACGGUUCGCCUAGUAACGAAGUAUAUGACUCCAUGCUUCCAAGAAAAGCUUCUAACUUAAUAAUUAACUGCCUGUACCUAGAACGAACACACGUGGUCAAGGAGAAAAUCCUAAGGCAAGCGAGAUAACUGUAGCUAAGGAACUCUGCAAAAUAACUCCGUAACUUCGGAAGAAGGAGUGCUUAUCUAUGAUAAGCCGCAGUGAAGAGGGAGGGGCAACUGUUUAACAAAAACACAGCUCUCUGCUAAGUCGCAAGACGAUGUAUAGGGGGUGACACCUGCCCAGUGCCGGAAGGUUAAAAGGAGAAGUCAG